This is a long non-coding RNA of Leucoraja erinaceus (little skate), 3599 nucleotides long. RefSeq lists it as uncharacterized. The transcript has 4 exons. Lineage: Eukaryota; Metazoa; Chordata; Chondrichthyes; Rajiformes; Rajidae. The record is from RefSeq and is a predicted model, not a curated record.
ACUUGGAGACCUCUGAAGAUACUGUGAAGUUUUAGAAGCAGAUUAAGGCCAUUCGGCCCUUCAAGUUUACACUUGCUCAGCAGCAGAGACGGUGGCAUCAUUCAGUCUCAAGAUGAUUUAAUGUCCAGAUUUCCUUCAUUUGAAUUUCUUCUUCCAUUUCAAUUUCUUCUGGAAGGUUUCAAGUAGCCAGUGUGGUCUUGCCCACGUUCUCCACCAGUGGGGUGUCAGGGGAUGACACCGACUUCAGCAGUGACCACACUGACAAUCGCAGUAGGUAGGUUAAACAUUAUCCUCUAAACCCGCGACCGUCGACAACGGGACGGAUCUCAUACAGGGGACAACGGAAGGUCACUAUCCAGUUGAAGAUAUCAACAGAAACCGAGAACAAAAAAUUAAGGUGAUCGAUCCAGGCUGGAGAUGCCGCCCUCCAGUCCAGCGGACCUCCGUGGUGAUGUUGCCACCGCUGAAAGCCGGAAUGCCAUUUCCGCUCCAAGACAGCCCACCACAGCAUCAGCUCCGGGCAGCCGCCCCAGCUCCAGGCUGCCGCCCCAGCUCCAGGUCCCGCAGUCUGCGCUCCAGGCCACUGCCCCAGCUCCGGGUCCCGCAGUCUCAGUUCCGAGCCCCGCUGCAUCAGCUCCUGGCCGCCGCCGAAAGCCAGAACGCCGCACCAGCAAGUUGGGCCACCGCUGCCUCAGCCCCGAAGACGGCCAGCUUCUCGUUGGUGAGUCCUGGCCGGCUCUGCCUCCGGAGCCUCGGGAUCAGUCGCAGGCUGGAGGCCGCCAGCUCCGCCAUUAGCGCAGACGGAGGCAGAGAAGGGGGAUACGACACAAAAAGGUUGCAUUCCCCCGAAGGAAGAGACAGAGAACAUGUUUCACCCCACACCCCCCUCUAAUACAACCCAACAAACUAAAACUUAACCAAAACAAGACAAAAAAAACAACAGAAAAAAGUAAAGACAGACGGACUGCAGGCGAGCCGCAGCUGUUAACAACGCCGCCAUCUACCUGCACUCAGACCAUAAACCUCCAUUCCUUUCCCCUCCAUAUAACUAUACAAUUUAUUUUUAAAUGAUAAAAUCGAACCUGCCUCCACCACCUUCACUGGAAGCUCAUUCCACACAGCUACAACUCUCUGAGUAAAGAAGUUCCCCCUAAUGUUACCCCUAAACUUCUGUCCCUUAAUUCUCAAGUCAUGUCCUCUUGUUUGAAUCUUCCCUACUCUCAGUGGGAAAAGCUUAUCCACGUCAACUCUGUCUAUCCCUCUCAUCAUUUUAAAGACCUCUAUCAAGUCCCCCCUUAACGUUCUGCGCUCCAAAGAAUAAAGACCUAACUUGUUCAGCCUUUCUCUGUAACUUAGUUGCUGAAACCCAGGCAACAUUCUAGUAAAUCUCCUCUGUACUCUCUCUAUUUUGUUGACAUCCAUCCUAAAAUUUGGCAACCAAAAUUGUACACCAUACUCCAGAAUUGGCCUCACCAAUGCCUUGUACAAUUUUAACAUUACAUCCCAACUUCUAUACUCAAUGCUCUGAUUUAUAAAGGCCAGCGCAACAAAAGCUUUCUUUACCACCCUAUCUACAUGAGAUUCCACCUUCAGGGAACUGUGCACAGUUAUUCCUAGAUCCCUCUGUUCAACUGCAUUCCUCAAUUCGCUACCAUUUACCAUGUACGUCCUAUUUUGAUUUGUCCUGCCAAGAUGUAGCACCUCACACUUAUCAGCAUUAAACUCCAUCUGCCAUCUUUCAGCCCACUCUUCCAACUGGGAUAAAUCUCUCUGUAGACUUUGAAAAUCUACUUCAUUAUCAACAACACCACCUAUCUUCGUAUCAUCUGCAUACUUACUAAUCCAAUUUACCACACCAUCAUCCAGAUCAUUGAUUUACAUGACAAACAACAGUGGACCUAUCACAGAUCCCUGUGGCACCCCACUAGUCACUGGCCUCCAACCUGACAAACAGCCAUCCACCAUUACUCUCUGGCAUCUCCCAUUCAGCCACUGUUGAAUCCAUCUUGCUACUCCACCAUUAAUAUCCAACAAUUGAAUCUUCUUAACCAACCUUCCAUGAGGAACCUUGUCAAAGGCCUUACUGAAGUCCAUAUAUACAACAUCCACUGCUUUACCCUCAUCAAUUUCCCGAGUUACCUCUUCGCAAAAUUCAAGAAGAUUAGUCAAACAUGUCCUUCCAGGCACAAAUCCAUGUUGACUGUUCCUAAUCAGACCCUUUUUUUCCUGAUGCUUAUAUAUAUUAUCUCUAAGUAUCCUUUCCAUUAAUUUGCCCACCACUGACGUCAAACUAACAGGUCUAUAAUUGCUAGGUUUACUCUUAGAACCCUUUUUAAACAAUGGAACAACAUGCGCAGUACGCCAAUCCUCCGGCACUAUUCCCGUUUCUAAUGACAUUUGAAAUAUUUCUGUCAUAGCCCCUGCUAUUUCUACACUAACUUCCCUCAAUGCCCUAGGGAAUAUCCUGUCCGGACCUGGAGACUUAUACACUUUUAUAUUUUUCAAAAGUGUCAGUACUUCCACUUCUUUGAAUCUCAUAGUUUUCAUGGCUACUCUACUUGUUUCCCUUACCUCACAUAAUUCAAUAUUCUUCUCCUUGGUGAAUACCGAAGAAAAUAAAUUGUUCAAUAUCUCCCCCAUCUCUUUUGGCUCUGCAGAUAGCUGUCCACUCUGACUAAUGGACCAAUUUUAUCCCUCGUUAUCCUUUUGCUAUUAAUAUAGCUUUAGAAACCCUGUGGAUUUACUUUCACCUUACUUGCCAAAGCAACCUCAUAUCUUCUUUUAGCUUUUCUAAUUUCUUUCUUAAGAUUCUUUUUACAUUCUUUAUACUCCUCAAGCACCUCAUUUACUCCAUGCUGCCUAUGAUUAUUGUAGAUCUUUCUCUUUUUCCGAACCAAGUGUCCAAUUUCCCUUGAAAACCAUGGCUCUUUCCAAUUUUUACUACUUCCUUUCAACCGAACAGGAACAUAAAGAUUCUGUACUCUUAAAAUGUCACCUUUAAAUGUCCUCCAUUUCUCUUCCACAUCUUUCCCAUAAAACAAAAUGUCCCAAUUCACUCCUUUUAAAUCCUUUCGCAUCUCCUCAAAGUAAGCCUUUCUCCAAUCAAAAAUCUCAACCUAAGGUCCAGUUCUGACCCUCUCCAUAAUUAUAUUGAAACUAAUGGUACUGUGAUCACUGGAUCCGAACUGUUCCCCAACGCAUACCUCUGCCACCUGACCUGUAUCAUUUCCUAACAGGAGGUCCGGCACCGCCCCUUCUCUAGUAGGUACCUCUAUAUAUUGCUGCAAAAAACUAUCCUGCACACAUUUUACAGACUCGAAACCAUCCAGCCCAUUUACAAAAUGUGUUUCCCAGUCUAAGUGUGGAAAAUUGAAAUCUCCCACAAUCACUACCUUGUGCUUACUACUAAUAUCUGCGGUCUCCUUACAUAUUUGCUCUUCCAAUUCUCGCUCCCCAUUUGGUGGUCUAUAAUACACCCCUAUAAGUGUUGCUACCUCUUUCCCAUUUCUCAGUUCCACCCAAAUAGCCUCCCUAGACGAGCCCUCUAAUCUAUCCUGCCAAAGCACUGCUGUAAUAUCUUCCCUGAACAGCAAUGCAAC